Molecule: unclassified non-coding RNA, 411 nt
Filed under: Zea mays
Lineage: Eukaryota; Viridiplantae; Streptophyta; Magnoliopsida; Poales; Poaceae
Description: misc RNA Zm00001eb129180
Source: RNAcentral
CUGUCUCGAUUCGUUGAGGGUUCGUUGGAUUCGGAGGAUGGCCAGCGCGCCACCACGCCGGUCCGCUCGCCGGGUGGAGGCUCCGAGGUCGAGAGAGGCACCGGGUUGUUGGAGAAAAGAUUACACCACAACAUUUUAUUUUGUCGGACAUCAAUAAAAACUGUUGUGGAGCCGUACAAAGUACCAUUUCAAAUGCUGCCAUUCCCAAAAUAUAUAAUCUUGAACCUUGCAGAUUUUGUCAAACUACCAAACAGGACUUUAGUUGACAUUAUGGCUAUUGUAGUCUACUUAGAUACAAUUCAUUGCACAAUGUGGGGUCCAUUCAGGAAGAUUGUUGUCAUAAAUGCUAGGUGGUCUCUACAUACCAUUAAAGUUUGGGGUGACUUGCUAAACAAAAAUGCACUCCACUAG